UACGGAGGGUGCGAGCGUUGUCCGGAAUCAUUGGGCGUAAAGAGCGCGUAGGCGGCCCAGUAAGUCCGCUCUGAAAGUCAGGGGCUCAACCCCUGAAUGCGGGUGGAUACUGCUGGGCUAGAGUCCGGAAGAGGCGAGUGGAAUUCCUGGCGUAGCGGUGAAAUGCGCAGAUAUCAGGAGGAACACCGAUGGCGAAGGCAGCUCGCUGGGACGGUACUGACGCUGAGGAGCGAAAGCGUGGGGAGCGAACAGG
This 253-nucleotide ribosomal RNA is filed under the name uncultured bacterium. RNAcentral describes it as "partial 16S ribosomal RNA". It matches the Rfam family "Bacterial small subunit ribosomal RNA", at positions 524 to 776 of the family's 1533-position model. The record is from RNAcentral.